This is a long non-coding RNA of Cucumis melo (muskmelon), 821 nucleotides long. RefSeq lists it as uncharacterized. NCBI's taxonomy places the organism in Eukaryota, Viridiplantae, Streptophyta, Magnoliopsida, Cucurbitales, Cucurbitaceae. The record is from RefSeq and is a predicted model, not a curated record. The transcript has 2 exons.
AACUCUGAGAUUAUUGUAUCCAUUGGGUAAGUUUUAAGAGAUGAGUUCGAUCAGAUCGUUGAUUCCCAGAGAAGAAGCAGUUGGUCGGCGGCAAGGGUUUUUCUUCGUCGUUCUCAGCUUCUCAUUCCUUCUAAUAUUUCUCUAUGCUGCCGUUAUUUCCAAGCUUCUUCCACCUUCAAACAACGCCUUCUUAUCUGCUAUUCAGAACGACUGGUAUUACUGUCUCCUUGUGCCCUUGACAUUACCUAUCCUUUACGUUGCCGUUUAUUUCCAUUGGUUGAGUAUGAAACUAUUCAAGCAUGCUUGAUCAUAUCGUCGUAUGAAGAUGAAGGUUUCGAGCUAGUUGAGCAUCUAAAUCUUGGGAAGAUUCAACCACCUUCCAUGUCUGGUUGAACAACGAUGUGAUGCGUUUGGAAUUUUCAGUACCUAAGGCAAUAGAGGAUGUACAGGUGAAUUACCGGAGACAUAUGAUGAUCAUGCCGAGCGAAUUCCACAUCGGCAGAGUGUCUUGGGGUGAUUUUUGUAGAGGCUUUUGUUAUGAAAUAUUCAUCCAUAGUGGUUGAAUGGUAUGGAUAUAUCAUUAACUAAGGUCAGUGUCUUCGAAGCCAAUCUAGGGAAAACGAAAACCAGCUUGGCUUAUACAUAUGCACAAUUCUUGAGUCUUGAGAAUUGCUUGAUUCUACUUUCAGUAGUUGUUUGAUCAAAAGUGGCGUGGGGGAGAAUUGUUGCACGAGUCUACCUUUGCCAAAUUCUAAAUUUACAAUAUUAAUGUCAAUUUUAUUGUUUUUAAUUUAUAAAAAAAUCAAUUUUAUUGUUUUUAA